RNAcentral lists this ribosomal RNA (254 nucleotides) under uncultured bacterium. RNAcentral describes it as "partial 16S ribosomal RNA". It matches the Rfam family "Bacterial small subunit ribosomal RNA", at positions 524 to 776 of the family's 1533-position model. The record is from RNAcentral.
UACGUAGGGUGCAAGCGUUAAUCGGAAUUACUGGGCGUAAAGCGUGCGCAGGCGGUUAUAUAAGACAGUUGUGAAAUCCCCGGGCUCAACCUGGGAACUGCAUCUGUGACUGUAUAGCUAGAGUACGGUAGAGGGGGAUGGAAUUCCGCGUGUAGCAGUGAAAUGCGUAGAUAUGCGGAGGAACACCGAUGGCGAAGGCAAUCCCCCUGGACCUGUACUGACGCUCAUGCACGAAAGCGUGGGGAGCAAACAGG